Molecule: transfer-messenger RNA, 353 nt
Filed under: Hyphomicrobiales bacterium
Lineage: Bacteria; Pseudomonadati; Pseudomonadota; Alphaproteobacteria; Hyphomicrobiales
Rfam family: Alphaproteobacteria transfer-messenger RNA
About the family: Bacterial tmRNA, also known as 10Sa RNA or SsrA, is named for its dual tRNA and mRNA-like properties. Its role is to liberate the mRNA from a stalled ribosome. To accomplish this part of the tmRNA is used as a reading frame that ends in a translation stop signal.
Source: RNAcentral
CCACUGUUCAAAUGGCGAACGAGCGCCUAUAUUCGUAGCGUCACCGCAAGGCGACUAUGGCGAUAAACGGACUUCGUAAUAGAUUUUCCGGACCCGGGGGCGGUACCCGGCGCCUCCACCCAAGCAGCCGCGUGGCCGUUUGGGUGGGGGCGAAACAGCUUCGACGGGGAGUUGAAAGGAAGUUUUUUUGCCCGGCAUGAUACCACCGUUAUCGGGUCAAACCUGUAGUUGCAAAUGACAACUAUGCUCCGGUGGCCCUCGCUGCGUAAUGCAGUGCUGGUACCGAAAUUAAGCCCUGUGGGUUAGCCCCUUCAGGCGGGGUCCGGAGGCACCUGGCAACAGAAGCCUCCACU